AGCCCAACUUGGUCACAGUGAGUGAAGGAACAUGGCUCUGAAUCAUGCCUGUCUGUCUCCCCAGGUCUGUGCUUAAAACCACGAAGUUCAAGAUGGAAACUGAAGGGAAGAGUGUCAAGGGGAUGGGAGAGAGGACUUGUCCAUGACUUUGGCAGCAUAAGGAAAAAAUACCCAGGGACAAGUGGCGACUUUGGAAACUCCAUUCCUCUGCAAAAUGACAUCACGAGGAGAGUGGUGGGGCCUGCGGAUGAAAAGAUCUGGCUUCUCCUCCCAACUCUGCUAUGAGGAAGCGCUGGAUGGCCCUGUCGGCCGCGGUCAUCGCCGCCUCGGCCCGGGAGCUCAGCAUUGCAGCCGCACCGGAGGCCUGAAACCGUCUCCUCCGCUACCGCCGCCGCCGCCGCCGGACCGAGGGAUACGACGGUUCCCGAGACAGCGGAACCUGCGGCCGCAGUCCCAGCACCUCGGGGGAACGUAGACCGCAGGACAGCUCCCAGGGGGACCGGAAGUAGCUGCCCCCGGAGAGCAAUAGCUGACGGACCACGUCCUUUCUUUCUUUUCCCUUAGCAACAGGCCCCGGCGUCGGUUGCUACGCUGGGCUCAGUUGCCUGGGGCUGCUUGGUUUUCAGAUUUGCUUAGGCUCCAUUCAUAAAUACAGAUGGCACACUUCUAGGAUGGACCCUGGGUCAUGAUUUGAAUUUUUCGAUGUGGGGAAGGGAGGCCAACAGCCGAAAGUCGGGUCAGGCCUCUGCUAUAAUUAGUUAUUAUUGUGGCCAGAGUGGAAAUAGGUCGCAGAGGAAGGAACUUUAAUGAGCAUGAGGCCCAUCUCUGACGAUAUCAGUAGAGAAAUCAACGUCUUUAAUAGCCAACAAACUUAUUGUUUACUUGGGUGCCAGGUAUAGAGCUAAGUAUGUUACAUUCAUUAUUUACAUUUAAUAUUCACACCAACUCUAACAUUACCCACAUUUUACAUCCCAGGGAACCCAGGAAAUUUGAAGAAAUAGUAAGUUUUUUGACGCAGCUUGUAAGUGGUGAAACAGAGAUUGGCAGUUCGGUCUGUCUGUCUCCAGAAUGGCACUCUCCAACAGAAAUAUACAGGAGCCACAUAGGUAAUUUUACAUUUUCCAGUAGCCACAUUAAAGUGAAAAGCAGGAGGUAGGCCAGACGCCGUGGCUCACGCCUGUAAUCCCAGCACUUUGGGAGAACGAGGCUGGUGGAUCACCUGAGGUCAAGAGUU
RNAcentral lists this long non-coding RNA (1234 nucleotides) under Homo sapiens (human). RNAcentral's name for it is "non-protein coding USP30-AS1:1". Lineage: Eukaryota; Metazoa; Chordata; Mammalia; Primates; Hominidae. The record is from RNAcentral.